GCAGCAGCAGCAAUGUUUCACUUCUUCAGAAAGCCUCCGGAAUCUAAAAAGCCCUCAGUACCAGAGACAGAAGCAGAUGGAUUCGUCCUUUUAGAAGCAUCUCAGAGGCUCUCCAGUGACGUGCUGUUGAAAGUGCUGACCCUGGGUCAGACCCUUUGGGUUGGCUUCGUGGCUCCACGACUUACUCUCUACCCUUGGCAGGCAUGGAACUUCCUAAAUGUUUAGUCUCAGAGCAAGAACACUCAAGCUUUUCAUGUUCUUUGGCACUAGCAGCUGUAACACAUUGAAUUUCUGGCAGUGGAAUUUCUCCUCACAGGAUCUGACCCCUCACACCAUGGCCCUGAAUUAAAAAAAACAUUGCUUCUGAGCAUAUGCAACUCAGCAAGGAUCCUCAACAUCUUGCGUCCUAUGUAGACCUAGCAUCUUUAAUAUCUAUGUAUGUUGGG
Molecule: long non-coding RNA, 446 nt
Filed under: Pan troglodytes (chimpanzee)
Lineage: Eukaryota; Metazoa; Chordata; Mammalia; Primates; Hominidae
Description: long non-coding RNA NONPTRT015475
Source: RNAcentral